This 465-nucleotide ribosomal RNA is filed under the name Vreelandella stevensii. Its description in RNAcentral is "partial 16S ribosomal RNA". It matches the Rfam family "Bacterial small subunit ribosomal RNA", at positions 338 to 795 of the family's 1533-position model. Lineage: Bacteria; Pseudomonadati; Pseudomonadota; Gammaproteobacteria; Oceanospirillales; Halomonadaceae. The record is from RNAcentral.
CCUACGGGUGGCAGCAGUGGGGAAUAUUGGACAAUGGGGGGAACCCUGAUCCAGCCAUGCCGCGUGUGUGAAGAAGGCCCCCGGGUUGUAAAGCACUUUCAGUGAGGAAGAACGCCUGGUGGUUAAUACCCAUCAGGAAAGACAUCACUCACAGAAGAAGCACCGGCUAACUCCGUGCCAGCAGCCGCGGUAAUACGGAGGGUGCGAGCGUUAAUCGGAAUUACUGGGCGUAAAGCGCGCGUAGGUGGCUUGAUAAGCCGGUUGUGAAAGCCCCGGGCUCAACCUGGGAACGGCAUCCGGAACUGUCAAGCUAGAGUGCAGGAGAGGAAGGUAAAAUUCCCGGUGUAGCGGUGAAAUGCGUAGAGAUCGGGAGGAAUAACAGUGGCGAAGGCGGCCUUCUGGACUGACACUGACACUGAGGUGCGAAAGCGUGGGUAGCAAACAGGAUUAGAUACCCCAGUAGUC